CUCUUAUAAAGAGCGGUGGAGGGAAGUGCCCUAUGAAACCCGGCAACCAUUACAUUUGUGUAAAAAGGUGCCAAGUCACGCGAAGUGGAUACUUUGGAAGAUGAGAG
RNAcentral lists this non-coding RNA (107 nucleotides) under Ureibacillus sinduriensis. RNAcentral's name for it is "Lysinibacillus sinduriensis SAM-I sequence". It matches the Rfam family "SAM riboswitch aptamer (S box leader)". Rfam says of the family: The SAM riboswitch is found upstream of a number of genes which code for proteins involved in methionine or cysteine biosynthesis in Gram-positive bacteria. Lineage: Bacteria; Bacillati; Bacillota; Bacilli; Caryophanales; Caryophanaceae. RNAcentral also lists the same sequence under 1 other name. The record is from RNAcentral.